AUCAAUAUCGAUUCCAUCUCACCAAGAUAUUCGAGAAGAGCAGUAUAGUUCACAACCGCUGUUUAUACAGAAACAACAUUUCGAGGCUUCAAAGUCAAUUCUAUACUCCAAUAGAGAAACGAACAUCUCAAAAUGGCAUCCAAAAUCAUCAUCAUUGCUCUGUUCGUGGUCGUCGCUGUCGUCGCCACAUCAGCAUUCGAUUUCAAUGACUUCGAGAAGAGGCAAGCUGAAAUGGAAUUGGAUGAUGCCGUGGAUCUCGUCAGUCAACACAUGACUGAUAAACGAGGAAGGAGGUUUUCAGUAUGCACCCAUCCACAUGGGUUCACAUGCUGGUGUGACAAGAAAUUUGAAGGUUCGGACAAAUACUACCGCGUCUGUGAUUUCGCCGCGGGAGGACCAAUCAAUGGACGAUAGAGUCGAGACAAGCGAUUUGAAAAAGGGGAAUGUCUUCAAGUUUAAAGCUAAACUGAAUUUAUCCGCCCAUUACCGAUAUUAAUUCAUGCAUGACUCCAUAAAUAAUUCUUUGUAGCUCGUGAUUGUUUUGACGGUUAAUUUAGAGUAAAACCUGGCUAAUAAUCAUUUAUAAUUUUGAAUAGUUUUACAAAAGUUUUUUUUUCUGUGUUGCAGUAAUUGUAGGUUAUUAUCCGAGUCGUAGUAAUAUUUUUAAUCAGCAUGGUUUUUAUGUUUGUUAUGUCAAAGAUUGUCAUGGUUUUAUCGUAUUGCCUUUUGGAGUUGCCUUUUUUAAAAGUUUAAGAUAACUUGAUCAAUUCAAUUAUGUGCCUGAUAAUUUAUCCACUUACUUUAUUUGUUUGCAUUACCCGAGUAUAAAUUCCAUUAAGAAUUAUCGUGAAAUACUUUUCUCAAAUGAUGAUGAUGAUGAUUACUGUGAUAUCGUAAAUUAUCUUGAAAUGUGGACACCUGUUAAAUAAAGUUUACCUUAAGCAUUUAAGUUGUUCC
Molecule: long non-coding RNA, 957 nt
Organism: Lytechinus pictus (painted urchin)
Lineage: Eukaryota; Metazoa; Echinodermata; Echinoidea; Temnopleuroida; Toxopneustidae
Exons: 3
Source: RefSeq, a predicted model, not a curated record